AUGGGCGGCGGCGUCGUCAGGUGCUGCGUCAAGAUCCUCGCGCUGCUCUCGCUCGUCCCGCUGGCGCUCAGGGCCGGCUCCUUCCUCGGCCACGUCGUCGCGCCGCCGCCCUCGUCGGCACGGCCAGCAGCCGCCGCCAGGAGAGCGAGCGUCGUCGCCGGCUCGGCGCACGUCAAGACGUCGGAGGGCGCUGCUCUGGCCGCCGCGAGGAACCGGAAUGGCGCCGGCGUAGGCGGGUUCGGCGACGACAAGAGGAUGGCGCCGUCCGGGUCCAACCCGCUGCACAACCUACGAUGA
RNAcentral lists this ribosomal RNA (297 nucleotides) under Triticum aestivum (bread wheat). Its description in RNAcentral is "partial small subunit ribosomal RNA". Lineage: Eukaryota; Viridiplantae; Streptophyta; Magnoliopsida; Poales; Poaceae. The record is from RNAcentral.